CUGCGCAAUUCAGGCGGCAUCCGCCAAAAGGCGCGCUGUUUGCAUCCCAAACACAAAUCAAAUCAUACAGAAUAGACCUAAAAUGUUUGUCAAAAAUGACCCUUGCGUGAGUGAAGUGACAAGUUUCAAAUAGAAAUGUGACAAACGAGCGAUAUUAAGUGUACAUUACAAUGUAAACGUACACUCAGCGGUUCCAGUUAGGCAUCCUCCAGAGAUUGUUCACAUGAUGUUUUGGUUUCCAAAAACAAACUUAAACACAAUUGAUUGUUUAUUUAAACAACUUACCACUUAUAAACUGAUCGGAGCAGACUUUGCUGUGUUUGGAAGGCUGAUAAUCCUUGCGGUUGAUUCUCGCAAGCCAUAGAUUUCUCCUUUGUAUGCUGAGUUUGUUUGCUCACCUUCAUGCUCCCGUACAGUGGGAAUUCCGUAAAAGCUCCGCUUGACUUCAUCAUUUGACCUAUUAUGACAGCUGUGAAUACAACAGGUGUGCACCAUUGCUAGCUUUAAAUAGCCUGCUUGGGUUCUUUUGAAGACUUUGUACUCACGCGUUCCAAUGUGUGCUCAGUCACCCGUACGGUAUGCUUGACCCGCAAGAUGGCCGCCACUAGGGAAUCCCCGACUCUGUGAUGUCAUGUGAAAACUAUCUAUAAACAUGUUAACAUGCUAGCAUUUAGCAUGUUAGUAUGCUGUUAGCAUGUUAAUAUGCUAACUGUUAGCAUGUUAGUUGUUAGCAUGUUGGCAUUAGCAUUUUGGCAUGCUAGCUUUUAGCAUGCGAGCAUUAUAGCUGUUCUGCUACAGCUCAGCAAGCACACAUUGCAUUUUCUCUGCGGCAAUGCAGUCUAGUUACAUUUGCAUGCCACUUUUGAAGUUUGAAAUACAUAAUUUUUUGAAUACUUUUUUUAAUCACCUGUGUAUUUAUAUUAAAACAAUUAUCUGCUUCAGGCUCAGUGGAUAUCAGUGAUUGUUAUACAUAUGGGCCACUUUUUCCAUGGAAUAAAAACCUGUAUUCUAGUCCCUUCUAGUGGGUUUACUGAUGGCAUGCAAUAUUGUUAUCAUAUCACUGAUUCUCCAUGUAUUACACCACUCUCCGCAAUGGAGAAUGAGCAUGCAAUAUUGUUAAAAUGUUGCACGUUGACAAGACAACAUGACAUCACACAUCAGAGCUGAUGUGAAGAUCCAAUGACAAAACAUUUCUGCUGUGCAUGCAUGCAAUCAUUUCUUUGCCGGCUGGGAAAGAGAGAAGAUUCAGUGCUAGGUUUAAGCACUAAAUAAAUAAACUGAAAACUGAAACUAAAGACAUGCUGAACACCCAAAAGGCUACCAAAACUUCAUUAUAUAUUUUUCAUGCAUGUUUACAAGAGAAAAACAUACCAACGGACAUUGAAAAUCUGAUAAAGAGACACAUUGGAGAUGUAAAACUUCCGCACUAGCGAGUGACUAUAACAGUUUGUAUUCAAACAUGGCCGUGAGAUUUGCUUCAUUCAAAGCAGAAGAUUUAAAGAGACAGAUGCGCUGAACACCUGAAAGGCUACCAAAACUUCACUGGAUAUUCUUCAUGCAUAUUUACAAGGGAAAAACAUACCAACGGACAUUGAAAAACUGGAAAAGAGAGCAAUAGUGGAAAUAUUGUCAAAGUUCUACUUGGAGGUGAGGAAAAGUGAUGGAGACUUUUACAAGAGGACUUCACUCGUGGACUUCACUCAACAAAGCCCUUUUGCUUUGAGCAACUGCAAUGUAACAAUUAACUACUACCAAAAGUAACUUUGAACUUGAACUGUCAACCUGAAUAUAGCUUGUAUAUAAGUUCGGUUGUUGUUCAGGCUUUUUGGACUUGUACUAUUUUUAUUGUUAGAACUUUGACUUUGUACAGUACAUUGGGUUGACAGAACAUUGAAUUGCAGUCGAUCAGAAUCAGUAUUCAAUAUCACAAAACACUUCUGAACAACCAGCUUGAUGCAGAGAUCAUCCAAGACACCUAAGAGCUCUAUUUAGGAGCAAGCACCUUGUUAUAUCUUACUCUCCUUGUAAAAGCUUAUCAUGUAUUUGUAACUAUAAGUCCGAGCUGGGUUUUCCUGCAUUCUAUGUUUUUUUUUUUUUCCAGUUUCAUGACUCUUGCCUGUUUCUCAAAUUUGUAAGCAUGGAUUGUCCGAGUUUAUUAUUGUCUACCUGUUCUCCAUCCCCUACUAUAAAUAGACUACAAUGAAAAAAUGCCAUGCUUAAUUUACACACUUGUGUCCUUCCUUUACUAACCACACAUUCCAUUCAAUUUCCUUGUAUUAUUGAUUCCAGGACAUUUAGUCAUUUAUAUAAUUUGUAUAUUGCUUAUGGAAGAUUUCAUAUAUGAUAAUGAGGUGGCUUACCUUAUUUACCUGAGCAGUAUCUGAUACAACAGGCUAAUCAUUGUGCACAAAGGAGCUCUGAAUGAUUAGAGUCUAGAGAACAACAAAGAGAACAACAAUUCAAUAAACAACAAAGUCUUGAUAA
Neoarius graeffei (lesser salmon catfish) is the source of this 2484-nucleotide long non-coding RNA. RefSeq lists it as uncharacterized. The record is from RefSeq and is a predicted model, not a curated record. Lineage: Eukaryota; Metazoa; Chordata; Actinopteri; Siluriformes; Ariidae. The transcript has 2 exons.